Molecule: long non-coding RNA, 675 nt
Filed under: Dromaius novaehollandiae (emu)
Lineage: Eukaryota; Metazoa; Chordata; Aves; Casuariiformes; Dromaiidae
Description: lncRNA (ENSDNVG00000014395.1)
Source: RNAcentral
GCUACCUGCCUUGUUUUGUGGUUCCUUKCUCCAUUUAACAUGAAGGGCACGGUCUGGCAGCCUGUGCUUGGAGGAAUUCCCUAACUGCAUGCGUUGCUGUAGCAGUAGAGCUGUUWUAGCUCUGAUGGUCUGCGGAAAUAAACAGGGACAUUUGGUAUGGCUGGAAACAGCAGCAGAACUGAGGGCAAACAAGCUGGAAAGAAGACUUCUUUAUACUGCUGCGGGCAUUUGAACCCAAGUGUGCGUGCACGGUCAUGAAGAAACUGAAAGAAACCUGGGAGUCUGAUUGUUUUCUCCCUGCCUGUUUCAUGAGAAAAAUCAGCAAACUUCUUGAACCCRUGGUAGGAGAUCUGAAGCCGUGUGGAUGCUUUCCUCCGUAGCAGAGCUGUGGUUCCAGGAGGAGUGGACUCGGGACACGGCAGCUCCYGGGCGUUGCAAGGACACCGAUCGUCCGCCCAGGUUGUACAAGAGCAGUGGGGCACCUGUGAAACAGGUUGUGCCAGGACACAAUGCUGCAGCGUGUGCAGUGAAUUCAAUACAUGUUGUUGAAGUCUAUGGACAUAAGGAUAGUUAUAACAGACCUAGCUCUCAGAUACCUGGGUAGCGGCGGUCUGAAAUACAGUAGCUCCUCUGGACCAAAAUAAAAUCUGGGUAGAAAUAUGUGCCUUAAAGACA